Molecule: unclassified non-coding RNA, 268 nt
Filed under: uncultured fungus
Lineage: Eukaryota; Fungi
Description: partial contains small subunit ribosomal RNA, internal transcribed spacer 1, and 5.8S ribosomal RNA
Rfam family: Eukaryotic small subunit ribosomal RNA (bases 1-73)
Source: RNAcentral
UCAAACUUGGUCAUUUAGAGGAAGUAAAAGUCGUAACAAGGUAACCGUAGGUGAACCUGCGGUUGGAUCAUUAUUAAUUAUAACUAAAGAGGGGAGAAAUCCCUUUCUUUAAACACAAUGUGCACUGUAAUUGUCUCUGGUGGGUCAAGUUCGCUUGCCCACUGUAAUUAAACUCUUAUGCUUUAUUUUGGACUUUAGUUUAAGAAGUAUAAUUCUAACAACUUUUGGCAACGGAUCUCUUGGUUCUCGCAUCGAUGAAGAACGCAGC